UGAGGAUACAGCUCAGUUGGUAGAGUGUUUUCCUCUCAAGCACAAAGCCCUGGGUUCAAUCUCCAGCACCACAA
This 74-nucleotide transfer RNA is filed under the name Marmota monax (woodchuck). Its description in RNAcentral is "tRNA.Glu". Lineage: Eukaryota; Metazoa; Chordata; Mammalia; Rodentia; Sciuridae. The record is from RNAcentral.